CGAGAAGUGUCACUAUAUUUGUUAAUUGCAGAACUGUAAACCAACUUUGAAUCGAAGAAAGGCGAUCCGCUAGAUUUUGAAAUGAAUUGAAGUUGUUGAAAGCCCGGAGAAGACAAUGUGGAGAAGUUCUACAAACUUCACCCA
This is a long non-coding RNA of Liolophura sinensis, 144 nucleotides long. RefSeq lists it as uncharacterized. The record is from RefSeq and is a predicted model, not a curated record. Lineage: Eukaryota; Metazoa; Mollusca; Polyplacophora; Chitonida; Chitonidae. The transcript has 3 exons.